MicroRNA precursor from Accipiter nisus (Eurasian sparrowhawk), 62 nucleotides. The record is from Ensembl. Lineage: Eukaryota; Metazoa; Chordata; Aves; Accipitriformes; Accipitridae.
UGAGUCUCCUUGAAAGUAAUGGCAUGUGAUUGCUUACCCCAUUACUUUCAAUGGGACUAAGU